GACGCCGCUACACCCACACCUUCAGUAGCCAGUCCAUCGCCGUCAUGAAGCUGUUGGCGCUCUUUCUCUUGGUUGUCAUCACAUUCGCUGCCCAAGUCGAGGCUUCGAAGUACGCGGCACUGAUGGUCAAAGAAGCGACCGAAGGGUCAAGAAUUACCCGCGGCAUUUACAGUUCUCAUCUCCCGAAUGGCACCAUCACUGACAUGUUUAACCUGAGUGACGAAAACGGGUACCAGCUACAAUGAAACCAUUACCUCAGCAAGUGACACUCCCACUGACUCACUCCGCCAAUGGCCACCACCAGGAGUCACCACUGAGCAGUACACACCUGGCUGCCAUCAACCUACACCUGCAAGGAACAAAACACUGACUGAUGGAAGGUUUGAUCUUGGCGCCACAACAUCGAGGUCAAAUGGGACCGGAACAAAAUUAAACAUAUAUCAAGAUUUGUAAUUACUCAAAAAAAAUAAAGGGAAUCAAUGUU
This is a long non-coding RNA of Portunus trituberculatus (swimming crab), 484 nucleotides long. RefSeq lists it as uncharacterized. The transcript is spliced from 4 exons. The record is from RefSeq and is a predicted model, not a curated record. NCBI's taxonomy places the organism in Eukaryota, Metazoa, Arthropoda, Malacostraca, Decapoda, Portunidae.